Molecule: ribosomal RNA, 406 nt
Filed under: uncultured bacterium
Lineage: Bacteria
Description: partial 16S ribosomal RNA
Rfam family: Bacterial small subunit ribosomal RNA
Source: RNAcentral
AUUGAACGCUGGCGGCAGGCUUAACACAUGCAAGUCGAGCGAGCGGCGGACGGGUGAGAAAUGUCUGGGAAACAGCCAGAAGGAGGGGGAUAACUACUGGAAACGGUAGCUAAAACCGCAUAACAUGAGCUUUGACAAGGUGGGAUGAGCUAGUAGGUGGGGUAAUGGCUAACCUAGGCGACGAUCCCUAGCUGGUCUGAGAGGGUGACCAGCCCCACUGGAACUGAGACACGGUCCAGACUCCUACGGGAGGCAGCAGUGGGGAAUAUUGCACAAUGGGCGCAAGCCUGAUGCAGCCAUGCCGCGUGUGUGAAGAAGGCCUUCGGGUUGUAAAGCACUUUCAGCGAGGAGGCGUUACUCGCAGAAGAAGCACCGGCUAACUCCGUGCCAGCAGCCGCGGUAAUUC